AGGGUGUUGACUUGGACAAGUGGUCUUCACAAGGUGGCGGACACCGGACUCUGCUGUACGGACACGCUAUUCUCCUCCGGCAUUCCCACAGCGGCAUGUACCUGAGCUGCCUAACCACCUCCCGUUCCUUGACCGAUAAACUUGCCUUUGACGUGGGUCUCCAGGAAGAUGCAACAGGAGAAGCCUGCUGGUGGACCAUCCACCCCGCCUCCAAGCAGCGCUCGGAAGGGGAGAAGGUGCGCGUCGGUGACGACCUCAUUCUCGUCAGCGUCUCUUCUGAGCGG
Molecule: long non-coding RNA, 284 nt
Organism: Gekko japonicus
Lineage: Eukaryota; Metazoa; Chordata; Lepidosauria; Squamata; Gekkonidae
Exons: 4
Source: RefSeq, a predicted model, not a curated record